AGUGAACGCUGGCGGUAGGCCUAACACAUGCAAGUCGAACGGCAGCACAGUAAGAGCUUGCUCUUACGGGUGGCGAGUGGCGGACGGGUGAGGAAUACAUCGGAAUCUACUUUUUCGUGGGGGAUAACGUAGGGAAACUUACGCUAAUACCGCAUACGACCUACGGGUGAAAGCAGGGGAUCUUCGGACCUUGCGCGAUUGAAUGAGCCGAUGUCGGAUUAGCUAGUUGGCGGGGUAAGGGCCCACCAAGGCGACGAUCCGUAGCUGGUCUGAGAGGAUGAUCAGCCACACUGGAACUGAGACACGGUCAAGACUCCUACGGGAGGCAGCAGUGGGGAAUAUUGGACAAUGGGCGCAAGCCUGAUCCAGCCAUACCGCGUGUGUGAAGAAGGCCUUCGGGUUGUAAAGCCCUUUUGUUGGGAAAGAAAAGCAGCAGGUUAAUACCCCGCUGUUCUGACGGUACCCAAAGAAUAAGCACCGGCUAACUUCGUG
RNAcentral lists this ribosomal RNA (492 nucleotides) under uncultured bacterium. RNAcentral's name for it is "partial 16S ribosomal RNA". It matches the Rfam family "Bacterial small subunit ribosomal RNA", at positions 29 to 507 of the family's 1533-position model. The record is from RNAcentral.